Molecule: ribosomal RNA, 433 nt
Filed under: uncultured bacterium
Lineage: Bacteria
Description: partial 16S ribosomal RNA
Rfam family: Bacterial small subunit ribosomal RNA
Source: RNAcentral
AACGAACGCUGGCGGCAUGCCUAACACAUGCAAGUCGAACGAUACCUUCGGGUCUAGUGGCGCACGGGUGCGUAACGCGUGGGAACCUGCCCUUAGGUGCGGAAUAACUCCCCGAAAGGGGUGCUAAUACCGGAUAAUGUCUUCGGACCAAAGAUUUAUCGCCUUUGGAUGGGCCCGCGUUGGAUUAGCUAGUUGGUAGGGUAAAAGCCUACCAAGGCGACGAUCCAUAGCUGGUCUGAGAGGAUGAUCAGCCACACUGGGACUGAGACACGGCCCAGACUCCUACGGGAGGCGGGAGAGGGGAAUAUUGGAAAAUGGGGGAAAGGCUGAUCGAGCAAUGCCGCGUGAGUGAUGAAGGCGUGAGGGUAGUAAAGCUCUUUUAUCCGGGAUGAUAAUGACAGUACCGGGAGAAUAAGCACCGGCUAACUCCGUG